GGCCGUGGCCGCAGGCUACACAUGCAAGUCGAGCGGCAGCGGGGAGUAGCUUGCUACUUUGCCGGCGAGCGGCGGACGGGUGAGUAAUGCUUGGGAACUUGCCUUUAGGAGGGGGAUAACCACGGGAAACUGUGGCUAAUACCGCAUAAUGUCUACGGACCAAAGCAGGGGAUCUUCGGACCUUGCACCUAGAGAUAGGCCCAAGUGAGAUUAGCUAGUUGGUGGGGUAAAGGCCCACCAAGGCGACGAUCUCUAGCUGUUCUGAGAGGAUGAUCAGCCACACUGGGACUGAGACACGGCCCAGACUCCUACGGGAGGCAGCAGUGGGGAAUAUUGCACAAUGGGGGAAACCCUGAUGCAGCCAUGCCGCGUGUGUGAAGAAGGCCUUCGGGUUGUAAAGCACUUUCAGUGGUGAGGAAGGAUGUAAGAUUAAUACUCUUGCAUAUUGACGUUAGCCACAGAAGAAGCACCGGCUAACUCCGUGCCAGCAGCCGCGGUAAU
Molecule: ribosomal RNA, 501 nt
Filed under: Pseudidiomarina marina
Lineage: Bacteria; Pseudomonadati; Pseudomonadota; Gammaproteobacteria; Alteromonadales; Idiomarinaceae
Description: bacterial SSU rRNA
Rfam family: Bacterial small subunit ribosomal RNA
Source: RNAcentral